This 24-nucleotide non-coding RNA is filed under the name Arabidopsis thaliana (thale cress). Lineage: Eukaryota; Viridiplantae; Streptophyta; Magnoliopsida; Brassicales; Brassicaceae. The record is from RNAcentral.
GGUCGGUCGAGUAAAGUGGUCGAG